Molecule: ribosomal RNA, 402 nt
Filed under: Triticum aestivum (bread wheat)
Lineage: Eukaryota; Viridiplantae; Streptophyta; Magnoliopsida; Poales; Poaceae
Description: partial small subunit ribosomal RNA
Source: RNAcentral
AUGGUCGUCAUUGGGGCUGAUAAAAAUCAGCAAGCAUGUUCAAGUCUGAGCAUUGUAGGUGAAAAACAUUCUAGCAAUACGAGCAUCAGCUUGUUGUCGGAUCUCAGCACUAAAACUCUCUCCAAUAGCUGUUUGCUUUCAUUUUCUUGUUGGAGCAGAACCAGCAAAGUGAGGUUGCUACAUCUUUGUUAUUUGAAGAAGAUGAGGCCUCACUCCAAGCAGCCAAGCAGCAAAGCAUCCAGGCAUUCAUCAUUCAAGAUUCAACAGCAGCACAAGUAUUCGACUAUUCGAAUGAGCAGCAGCAGGCCAGCAGCACAAGCAUUCAAAGAGCAGCACAACAUGGGUAGCAAACAGCAGCAGCACAAGCAUUCAAAGAGCAGCAAGCAGCAUCCAAUAGCUUAA